RNAcentral lists this ribosomal RNA (484 nucleotides) under uncultured bacterium. Its description in RNAcentral is "partial 16S ribosomal RNA". It matches the Rfam family "Bacterial small subunit ribosomal RNA", at positions 355 to 829 of the family's 1533-position model. The record is from RNAcentral.
UGGGGAAUUUUGGACAAUGGGCGCAAGCCUGAUCCAGCCAUGCCGCGUGCGGGAAGAAGGCCUUCGGGUUGUAAACCGCUUUUGUCAGGGAAGAAAUCUUCUGAGUUAAUACCUCGGGAGGAUGACGGUACCUGAAGAAUAAGCACCGGCUAACUACGUGCCAGCAGCCGCGGUAAUACGUAGGGUGCAAGCGUUAAUCGGAAUUACUGGGCGUAAAGCGUGCGCAGGCGGUUUUGUAAGACAGAGGUGAAAUCCCCGGGCUCAACCUGGGAACUGCCUUUGUGACUGCAAGGCUUGAGUGCGGCAGAGGGGGAUGGAAUUCCGCGUGUAGCAGUGAAAUGCGUAGAUAUGCGGAGGAACACCGAUGGCGAAGGCAAUCCCCUGGGCCUGCACUGACGCUCAUGCACGAAAGCGUGGGGGGCAAAACAGGAUUAGAUACCCUGGGUAGUCCACGCCCUAAACGAUGUCAACUGGUUGUUGGGAA